Molecule: long non-coding RNA, 162 nt
Organism: Cynoglossus semilaevis (tongue sole)
Lineage: Eukaryota; Metazoa; Chordata; Actinopteri; Pleuronectiformes; Cynoglossidae
Exons: 2
Source: RefSeq, a predicted model, not a curated record
AUAUAUAUAUAUAUCCCUAGGAAUAUAAUUAAUAAUAACAAUAAUGUAAACUUUUUUGAUCCCAUCUUUGGGAAAUUCUUGUGUUAACGGUAGAUCUGCCCCAGGCAGGCGUCAAGUACUGUGUAUAAUUCCUGUGGGAAUCAAACCCAAGACUGCGCACCA